GCGAGGGUAGCGAAGUCUGGUCAAACGCGCAGGACUUAAGAUCCUGUUCCUUAGUGGAUCCGAGGGUUCGAAUCCCUUCCCUCGCA
This 86-nucleotide transfer RNA is filed under the name Candidatus Woesearchaeota archaeon. RNAcentral describes it as "tRNA-Leu". It matches the Rfam family "tRNA". Rfam says of the family: Transfer RNA (tRNA) molecules are approximately 80 nucleotides in length. Their secondary structure includes four short double-helical elements and three loops (D, anti-codon, and T loops). The record is from RNAcentral. Lineage: Archaea; Nanobdellati; Candidatus Woesearchaeota.